GGGAGUGUGGUCUAGUGGUAUGAUUCUCGCUUUGGGCACGACCUAUUAAUAGUAGGUAGUUAAACAAAUAUGCGAGAGGCCCAGGGUUCAAUUCCCUGCUCUCCCC
Molecule: non-coding RNA, 106 nt
Organism: Scheffersomyces coipomensis
Lineage: Eukaryota; Fungi; Ascomycota; Pichiomycetes; Serinales; Debaryomycetaceae
Source: the annotation of a RefSeq genome assembly